CUUAUAAGUUGUUAAUUUAAAAAUUAAUUAUAUCUCUUAUUAAAGCAUUAGGAUAUUAAGUAAUUGAGAUAGAAAUUUAGUUUAAAGGAGUAAAAGUACCGCAAGGGAAAUUAAUAGAGUGAAAGAAAGCAGCUUAAGCAGCGUACUUUUUGCAUCACGGCUUAGUAAGAAUAAUUUAGUUAUCUAAGUUCUCGAAAUCUGACGAGCUAUCUUUAUUUUGUUUUUUAGGACAUAAAAUUAUUCUAGAUGUAGCAAAAUCUAAAUAAAAAAUAAAGAUAGAGAUGAAAUUUCAUUCGCGUCGGUGAUAGCUAGUUCCUCCUGAUAUAUAUAUAAGUAUGUAAGUAACUUUAUUUCAAAAAAUGUUUUAUUUUGAUGUUAUGUUAACUUUCAUUUAUUUGAGGAUAAGCUCGAAUAAAGACUUGAGAAAUUAUAAAUUGAUAGUUUUCUGUGUAGGCUUAAGAUUGGCUAUCACUAAAAAACUUGUUAUAAAGUAGUUUUCUAACUGCUCAAGAUUAUUAUAUAAAAUUUCCGAUUUAAAUAAGGAGGUAUCAAAAAUCUAAACUUUUUGGGUCGAAUAACGAUGCUAAGAUGAGUAUUAUAGCUAGAAUAAAUAUGAAGAGUAAAAUAAAAGCUUUUCUUUAGGUAUAUCAGUUUGUAAUUUUAAAUAUUAAGAAGGAACUCGGCAAAUUUCUGCUUCGCCUGUUUAUCAAAAACAUGGCUCUUUGACUAAAGUUUUAUAAAGAGUCGAGCCUGCCCAGUGAAAAUUUUAACGGCCGCGGUACUCUGACCGUGCAAAGGUAGCAUAAUCAUUUGCCUUAUAAUUGAAGGCUAGUAUGAAUGGUUUGACGAAAGCAGAUCUGUCUCCUUUUUAUUUUUCAGAAUUUGACUUUUAGGUGAAGAGGCCUAAAUAAAAUUGAAGGACAAGAAGACCCUGUCGAGCUUAAAAGAACUCAUAGAAGUUAAUAUAACUAUAAAUAAAUAGUCUAUUAAGCUUUUUAGUUGGGGCGACUGAGGAACAAAGAAAGCUUUUUAAGUAUAAAAGACAAACAAGUUUAGAUCC
Molecule: ribosomal RNA, 1060 nt
Filed under: Pirenella cingulata
Lineage: Eukaryota; Metazoa; Mollusca; Gastropoda; Potamididae
Description: partial 16S ribosomal RNA
Rfam family: Archaeal large subunit ribosomal RNA (bases 654-907)
Source: RNAcentral